UACGGAGGGUGCGAGCGUUAAUCGGAAUUACUGGGCGUAAAGCGCACGCAGGCGGUUUGUUAAGCUAGAUGUGAAAGCCCCGGGCUCAACCUGGGAUGGUCAUUUAGAACUGGCAGACUAGAGUCUUGGAGAGGGGAGUGGAAUUCCAGGUGUAGCGGUGAAAUGCGUAGAUAUCUGGAGGAACAUCAGAGGCGAAGGCGACUCCCUGGCCAAAGACUGACGCUCAUGUGCGAAAGUGUGGGUAGCGAACCGC
RNAcentral lists this ribosomal RNA (253 nucleotides) under uncultured bacterium. RNAcentral's name for it is "partial 16S ribosomal RNA". It matches the Rfam family "Bacterial small subunit ribosomal RNA", at positions 524 to 776 of the family's 1533-position model. The record is from RNAcentral.